CUCAGGGGUCGAGGGCCCCUGGUACCCCGCAUCUCUGUCCCAACAGGAACAGCGGUGGUCACUAGUUGCUCAGGAAGGGGCAUUUGGACUUUGAGGGCUAAGUUCCCUUUGCUGAUUUACCCACCUCUGGCCCUUGUGGGGCCACAAGAGCCACUGACUUUUAUACAUAUGUGUGUAUUUUUUUUAAGUUGUUGAUGGAACUUUAUUUUAUUUUAUAAAAUAUAUUUUUAGUUGUUAAUGGACUUUUCUUUCUUUACAUGCGGUGUUGAGAAUCGAACCCGGGGCCUCCCACAUGCUACGCAAGUCCCAACCACUGAGCCUCAGCCACUGACGCUUGAGAAGGAACCGAUCUGUUGUCCUCCUGGGGUUCACUCAGACACUAGGCAAGGAAAUGUCACAGAGCAGACAGGCCUCUCUCUCCUCUUGCCCUGGAACCCGACGGUGGAGGCUCCAUCCAGCCCACAGCCCAGAGAUGGCGUCCAGAUGGCUCACGCCUGUCAUCCCAGCAGCUCCGGAGGCUGAGGCAGGAGGAUCGCAAGGUGGAGGCCAGCCCGGAAGACCCCGGAAGAUCUGAGAUCUCUCUGCACAAGACCAGCCCCAUCAAAGAGGAACCAGGACCCAGACCCGGUGGACAACCCUAACCACCAAGAGGAAGUGGACUGAGAGGGUUUGUCACUUCUUCAAAGAUAUCCUGGUUUUUUUUUCUUUUCUUUUUUUUUUUGAUACCAGGGUUUGAACACAGGGGCCCUGGACCCUGAGCCCCAUCCCCAACCCUUUUUAUGUUUUAUUUAGGGACAGGGUCUCGCUGAGUUGCUUAGGGCCUUGCUAAGUGGCUGAGGCUGGCCUCCAACUUGCGAUCCUCCUGCCUCAGCCUCCAGAGCCAUUGGAAUUACUGGGGUGCACCACCGUGCCUGGCUGUGUUAGGUAUCUGAAGUCAUGUAGAGGUGUUUUAAGGAACAUGAGGAGAAUGUGUGUAGGUUAGAGGCAAAUACUAUGCCUUUUUUAUUUUAAUAUUUUUUAUUUGUUCCUUAUAGCUCUCCAUGACAGCAGCGUGCAUUUUGACGUAUCCCACAUACACAGAGUGUAACUUCCCACUCCUGUGGCUGGACCUGCUGUGGGGUGUCCCUGGUCGUGGGUUCCUAUGUGAACAUGGGAAAGUGACGCCCAUUCAUUCCCCUGUCCCUCCCAGUUCCCUCCCCUCCCUUCCCUCCCCUCCCCUGCGUCUCAUUCAGUGAACUGCUGUCCCCCCCUUUAUUGUGGGUCAGCAUCCGUCUGUCAGAGAGAACAUUUGGUGUUUGGGGAUUGUAUGCCCUUUUUUUUAAGGGAAUUGAACAUCUGUAGAUUUGGGUAUCCUCAGGGGUCAGCCUGCACCAGAUACUUGGAGACAACUAAUUGCAUUGAGGAAGGCGGACAGGUUUCCAGAUGUGGAAACAAUCUGAGUUGCUUCUUUGCCAUUUUGGUUGAGUUAGAAUAAGCAUGUUGCUGUCUUUCGAAACAGGAAGUCCUAGGCUGUUCCGAUUUCAGCCCCUGAUCCCAUCCACCUUGGGAGCUCAAGAAAAGACUUCCUAGAGCCAGGCCCGGUGGUGCUUGCCUACCAUCCCAGCGGCUCGGGAGGCUGAGGCAGGAGGAUCACAAGGUGAAGGCCAGCCUCAGCCACUUAGCGAGGCCCUCAGCAACUCAGCGAGACCCUGUCUCUAAAUAAAACAGAAAAAGGGCUGGGGACGGGGCUCAGUGGGUAAGCGACCCUGGGUUCCAUCCCUGGUACUCCUGCAAAAAAUGUCCCCAGAACAAAAUAGAGUGGCCCACUGGGGGAGCUGCAGCGUCUCCCACAGUCAGGAACUUGGGAAGCCAGAGGCUAAAAGCGACAGACACCAAGAUACAGACUAUCACAAUUCUCUUGGCCUCUUUUUUUUUUUUUGGCAAGACUGGUACAGGAGAUUGAACCCAGGGUUCAAUAUAUAUAUGGAGCAUAUAUAUGUAUUCAAACAUAUAUAUUCUUUAUAUAGAGAUUCAUAUUUAUAUAUACAUGCAGUAGGAGCCAACUCAGUUAUCCUGCAAACCUGAACUAUUAAUAGAUUAAAAAAAACCUGAUGCACAAGUAUUUUGAACACCUUCAUGAAAUUACGAAAUGAUAUGGUCAGGACUAUUAUCUUACAAGUAUAAUCUUGUUUGAAAAGAGCAUGAAAAUCAUCCACACGGAGCCUCUUUUGUGAAUGUGAGUCAGAGGCCGGUGUUCUUUUAGGAUCCCUGUAAGAGGUGCUAACCUCAGCCCGACAGCAGGUACUUACUAAAUAAAGGGAUUAAUGAUCUAGGAAGUCAUGCAUAUUUUAUAUUCCGUCUCAACUGUCCUCUUGGCAUGUGGCCUGCUCCCAGCUCUAAAAGAGCCCCAGCAAGACCCAGAAAGUUCAUUAUCCAGCAGGGCACAGUGUGGAGGCUGAGGCAGGAGGAUCGCAAGGUGGAGGCCAGCCUCCACCAUUUAGCAAGUCUCUAAGCAACUCAGCGAGACCCUGUCUCUAAAUAAAAUACAAAAAGGGCUGGGGAUGGGGCUCAGGGGUGAAGCGCCCCUGGGUUCAAUUCCUGGUACCAAAAAGAAAGAAAGCUCAUUACACAUCUAGGUUCAUCCUUGUGAGACACUGGAAAUAAUUGAACAGUAAUUCCACAUGGUGAAGGUCAAAGUCAUGAUUCAUUCAUUCAAAGGAAAAGCGAAGUCAUUAAAAUAAUGAUAAUUACGUGUCCAUGUACAAUAAGCUUUGAAGUGAUACUGAAUUAGAAAAACUGUCAUGUGGCAUUCAUAUUAGGAAUGCAGCCAGGUCAAGAGACACGUACAUAAAAAGAAUGAAAAGUUCUGGUCACCUAUUAGGUGCCGGGCCUUCUGUUGAGUCAUAUGAAUACAUCAUUAAAUAAAAUAUCAUUUUAAAAUAUUUUUUUUUAAAUUUUAUUAUGGAGGAUCGAGCCCAGGGGCACAGAGCCACAUCCCCAGCCCUUUUAAUUUUUAUUUCUUUUGAGACAGGGUCUCCCUGAUUUGCUGAAGGCCUUGCUAAGUGGCUGAGGCUGGCCUCCAAUUUGUGAUCCUCCUGCCUCAGCCUCCCGAGCUGCUGGGAUGACCAGUGCGCCCCACCGUCCCUGGCUCUUAAUACGUAAUCUAGAUGUGUUCCCUGUCCCUCAGAUUUCUCCUGGAAGCACCCCCCCCCCAGUAGCUGUGGAAAUUGGGUCUGUUGGUAGCAGGUGGGAGGAAUAUUCCAGUAUCUAGGGUGUAAACAUGUCCACGAGGCUGAUUUCAAGCUGCUAAUUAAUUCUCACUGAACUCAGAGUUGGGAAGAGAUGGACAAGUAGCUCUCAGGAAUCAUGUGAGCUGGUCAGAACACAUUUCUAGAACCUUCCACCACCUACUGUCUGACAUUCCAGAGGCGCUUGUUAAAUAAACAAUGAUUGGUUCAUAGGACGGGAUGCUAAUCAGUCAUGGGAAGAUCAUACACUAACUUAAUUUUUUUUCUCCUCCUCCCCCCUUUAGGAUCUUCCUGAGUCGCCCAGGCUGGCCUGGGACUUGUGACCCUCCUGUGUCAGUCUCAGAGCUGAAAUUGCAGGCGUUCCCCCCCAGGCUUGGCUUAGGGUUCUACCUAAGAACAACUAGUCAGAUUUGAAAAGACUUCAGAGCUUGUUUUCAAGUUUAAAAAGUAAGGAAGGUCAUUGAAAAGGGCAGAACAAAAAUUCCAAAAAUCACCUUCUCUGUAACGUCAACCAGACACCUGGCAAAACCAUCAGCAUCCACAUUUGGAGAGCUGGGGAAAUCAGUCCAAGGCUUGGAACCUGGAAGACAUUAUUCAAGGAGAGUGGAUCUCCACGACAAGAACGAGAUUUGUGAUAUCUUAACAUACCUUACACCCCUGCCCCUGUUCUUGAGGUCUGUAACAGCAUUUAAAAAUGAUAGCUAGAGCUGGGCACAGUAGCACACACCUGUAAUCCUGCAGCAAUUUGGGAGGCUGAGGCAGGAGGAUUGAAAGUGGAGGCCAGCCUCAGCCACUUAGCCAGGCCCUAAGCAACUCAGUGAGACCCUGUCUAUAUGGAGCUGGAGAGAUUUCAGACCUGUUCCCAGGUCACAGAACAGUCAUUUUCUGACCUGUGUAGAGGCCCACAGGAAGACCUCGGUUGUGAGGCUGCCUGUCCUUGGCCCAUCCUGGCCCUCAUCCUAUGUGAACACGCCUCUGCAAAUUUGUUUUUGUUUGGGGAGUUUUUUUU
RNAcentral lists this long non-coding RNA (4236 nucleotides) under Marmota monax (woodchuck). Lineage: Eukaryota; Metazoa; Chordata; Mammalia; Rodentia; Sciuridae. The record is from RNAcentral.